This 309-nucleotide transfer-messenger RNA is filed under the name Sulfobacillus sp. It matches the Rfam family "transfer-messenger RNA". From Rfam's summary of the family: Bacterial tmRNA, also known as 10Sa RNA or SsrA, is named for its dual tRNA and mRNA-like properties. Its role is to liberate the mRNA from a stalled ribosome. Lineage: Bacteria; Bacillati; Bacillota; Clostridia; Eubacteriales; Clostridiales Family XVII. Incertae Sedis. The record is from RNAcentral.
GGGGGCGAACUAGAUUCGACGGGGAUGAACGGGGUGUUGGAACGCGAGCCGAGGUCCUGUUCCUCGCUAAACAGCAGGAAAACAAUAAGUGCCAACAACACUGAAGAAAACUACGCUUUAGCUGCUUAAUCCCAGCUAACGCCUGAAUCCCAAGCUCCUACCUUCGGAUUCGUGGCGUAAAAAUGUAGGAUACCUCGGUAUCAAGUCCGGGAUAUCGAGGGAAAUGAAGGACUGGCCGCAUGGAUGCCGCGCCGNNUCCGGCACGACGUAUCUUCGGACGGGACGGGCAGCACGUCCCCGCCUCCACCA